GUAGUAUUCCCUCCGUCCCAAAAUUCUUGUCUUACAUUUGUUUAGAUACGGAUGUAUCUAACACUAAAAUGUAACUAGCUGCAUCCAUAUUUAGACAAAUUUAAGACAAGAAUUUUGGGACGGAGGGAGUACAAA
Molecule: non-coding RNA, 135 nt
Organism: Triticum urartu
Lineage: Eukaryota; Viridiplantae; Streptophyta; Magnoliopsida; Poales; Poaceae
Source: Rfam